This is a long non-coding RNA of Lepus europaeus (European hare), 710 nucleotides long. RefSeq lists it as uncharacterized. NCBI's taxonomy places the organism in Eukaryota, Metazoa, Chordata, Mammalia, Lagomorpha, Leporidae. The record is from RefSeq and is a predicted model, not a curated record. The transcript is spliced from 3 exons.
CAGCCCAGGGGCGAUGUCUGUGGAGAAGGGGCUUCUGUUAAGAUCUCUGCUUUCCCAAGAUCAUCACUCCUAGCCUCCUCUGGAAACUCAGAGCCGAGGACCUGGCGUACCACUUACAGAGGCCUGCACGGGCACAGGGUUGAGACCUGGGCAGUUUCAGUUGUGUGAAAGUCUCUCCGAUUGCACCACACAGUUUACAAAUUGUGAACCAAACCAUCAGGUGUGUUCUUCGCUUAGAUGGGAUACUAGAGUCAUUCCACGGAGGCUACGGAGAAAAGUGAAGAUCAAGACGUUGUGACAAUGCCCCGGCACACCCCCAACUGACCUAGGACCUCCCACUAGGUCCCACCGCCUCCCGGUACCGCUAUCCUGGGCACCAAGCCUCCAUCACAGGACCUGUGCGGAACAAGCUACAUCCAAACCACAGCUGCGGUCACGGAUCAUUACAACAAAGCCGUCCACGGCAGUGAGGACAAGGUCAUAACGUAGGGCAGAGAGAGUGAAAAUAAAAAGCGAUGGAUUCCAAGAGUUUAAUGGGAUUGGCUGAUUUGUGAGGAAGGCACCAGGGAACCCAGACAGCAAUAGCUGACCCGGGUCAUAGUUGCUUUCCUUGCCAGGGCCACCUUGCAUGUGUUAUCUCAUUUACGUAUGUAUUUAUUUUAUUUGAAAGGCAGAGAAAGAGAUAUCUCCCAUCUACCAGUUCACUCCCC